This is a non-coding RNA of Phascolarctos cinereus (koala), 1109 nucleotides long. The record is from RefSeq and is a predicted model, not a curated record. NCBI's taxonomy places the organism in Eukaryota, Metazoa, Chordata, Mammalia, Diprotodontia, Phascolarctidae.
CCCCAAUUCCUUUUCCUCCAUCUCAGCAGGACUGAACUUCUUGGAGGGGCGUGAGAGUGGCCCUUCUCAGCUGCUGGCAGGAAAGUUUCUCCAGGCCCUACACAGACACUGCUUCUUUGGGGGAAGAGGGGGAGAGAGAGAGACAUAUGGGCCAGCCCUGCGGGCCAAGUAGCCAAAUAACUGUGGCUACUCUUCAAUGGAGUUGUGAUUGCUUCAGUGGAGUAUAGCCAGAAACUCAUCCACUCUUUUUCCUGUGAAAUUGUUGUCCAUGACCUCUCAUGAACCCUCUAUCACUGGUCUGUCCACCAUUGGAGGCCUUCCUCAAGGGCUUUUAAUGCAUGGUGGGUGAUGGGCACAAGUAUGGCCCUCAGACUAUCCAUCUGUAUCCCUCCUUCUUGCUUCAAGACUGAACCACAUCCUCUCCUGAUCAUCCAUUUCCUGUCAAACUACCACCACCGACUUGGCCAUCGUCUCCUCUCAGACUGGGAUGAAGACAGCUCGGAAUCCUGUGCCUAGGACUUUGGAAUAGCAGUCCCCUACUCCUCAAGACCAGACUUCACCACUCGGGGAGGACAUGAUCUUUAGUAGAACCGCAGCUAGUAAUAUUUGGACGUGGGAUUUUGCAGACCAUGCUCAAGGCAAACAGUAUGAAAAGUAUCCUCAGACGAAGGUUUAGAGAUGAAGCAUCAGACACAUUUUUGCUCAAAGGAAGGAAUCAAAAUGGCAGUCCCUGCUUCAGCAGACUGAAGAGGACUUUGGUGGCUCAGGGCUUACAGUGGGGAGCCCCACUGGGAGACAGAGGUCUCUGAUGGCGUUUGGAGAAUCGUAAAACCCAAGAAGUCGAGAGUUAGAAGGCGUCUCAAUGACUCUCUAGAAUCCAUUUCCAUGGCUCGGUAUCCUGAAUUCCUUAGAUGAGGAAACCGAGUAAGGCCCAGGGAAACUAAGUGAUUUGUAAAUGUGGAAUCAUUGAUGUGGAGCUGGAAGAGAGUUCAGAGGUCAUCAAGUCUGACCUUCAUCUUACAGAGAAAGAAGCAGGCCCUAAGAUCCAGAAGCGGUGACUUGACCAUGAUCAUAUUGGUGGUGAGCAAUAAAGCCAGGAUUUGAACCCA